This is a long non-coding RNA of Tupaia belangeri chinensis (Chinese tree shrew), 430 nucleotides long. RefSeq lists it as uncharacterized. The record is from RefSeq and is a predicted model, not a curated record. The transcript is spliced from 3 exons. NCBI's taxonomy places the organism in Eukaryota, Metazoa, Chordata, Mammalia, Scandentia, Tupaiidae.
AGCUCCAGUAAGCCCAGCCACUGGGAGUUCUUUGAGUCUGGGGCAGUGUCCCCUCCCUGCCACCUGCUUCUGGCUGAGUGAAGAGGAGUUGACCGCCCGGAACGGACAGCCUGCCGCUCCUCCCAGGCUUCCAGACAGAGAAGUCCCAGAAGUCCCAGGCUCUGCUGGGGAGGAGGGAGCCUGGCCUCAGACCUGGCCAGGUCCCUCUCCCCAAAGAGCUCCAGCACCAGCACCUGACUGUGAAGCUCCCCCCAGCCCCAGCAGGGCCUCCGCCUCAACCCAUGGCUGCAGUCUGAAAUCUGAGACCCCACUCAGUGUGACCUGGCCUUGCUUGGCAUCAGCUGAACCAGUGUCCAGCCAGACAGAGCCUCAACGAGGUCCGCUGGCCCUGCAGGCUGGGCAGCCCUGGGACUCCCACCGAGCUGAAUGA